Molecule: ribosomal RNA, 253 nt
Filed under: uncultured bacterium
Lineage: Bacteria
Description: partial 16S ribosomal RNA
Rfam family: Bacterial small subunit ribosomal RNA
Source: RNAcentral
UACAGAGGUGGCAAGCGUUGUUCGGAAUUACUGGGCGUAAAGGGCGCGUAGGCGGUCAGGUCAGUCCCGUGUGAAAUCCCUCAGCUUAACUGGGGAACUGCGUCUGAUACUGGAUGGCUUGAGAUUGGGAGAGGGAUGCGGAAUUCCAGGUGUAGCGGUGAAAUGCGUAGAUAUCUGGAGGAACACCGGUGGCGAAGGCGGCAUCCUGGACCAACACUGACACUGAGGAGCGAAAGCCAGGGGAGCAAACGGG